AUCGGCUUGUAUGUGCUUUCUAGUGUGUUCCAUCGCUGAAGCCGGUGGGGCUGGUGGAGCCGGUGGUCGAUUGUCAGUUGUCAGUUGUUGGGUUUUGAUGGUGGUGGUGACACCUGCGUGCUAGAUGUGCAAUCUUUGCCUCUGAUUUUCCAAGUGGUUUUCUGGUGGGUGUCUGGAUGGUGCUAUGGACAGAGGUUUCUGGAUUGGCUGUGGCCUUUUACUGCAUUGGACUUUUCAGACCUAGUGAUGUAAACUCUUUUGAUUUGUGGGCUUUGGGCUUGGCCAAUGUUCUUAAGUUUAAACCCUUGUAUCAAUUGCCUUUUUAUAGGUAUUUUAAUACAACCUACUUGUUGUAUGGUAAUAAAUAAAUAAAUAAAUAAAACUCAGCCCUUAGAUCAUAAA
Long non-coding RNA from Manihot esculenta (cassava), 402 nucleotides. RefSeq lists it as uncharacterized. The transcript has 2 exons. Lineage: Eukaryota; Viridiplantae; Streptophyta; Magnoliopsida; Malpighiales; Euphorbiaceae. The record is from RefSeq and is a predicted model, not a curated record.